This 1812-nucleotide long non-coding RNA is filed under the name Callithrix jacchus (white-tufted-ear marmoset). Its description in RNAcentral is "lncRNA (ENSCJAG00000071720.1)". Lineage: Eukaryota; Metazoa; Chordata; Mammalia; Primates; Cebidae. The record is from RNAcentral.
GCAUGUAUUUGGUUAUUCUUCCUUUUCUAUUUUAUUAAUCUGGCUAGUAGUCUAUCUAUUUUGUUUAUCUUUUCAUCAAUGCAUAUUUUUUGUGAGGAGUUUCUUUCUGUGUUUUUCAAGGAAGGGUAUUUAUGCUGGCUUUGAAAAAAAGCGUUUUCCAAAAAUAAAUAAAUUAGGAUACAUCUAUGAGUUAAUCACAUUACAGCCAUUGCAAUGUUCAUGUAGAAGUAUGACACUUGUUUCCAAUAUGGUGUUGUUCCCCAAAUGAAUAAGCUAGGAAACAAUAUGUAUAGUAUGAUUCCAUUUUUUGCAUAAAUUGUAUGCUUAUAUAUUAUACCUAUAUGCAUAAAUUACAUUUACAAAAUGGAAAUUGGGAUGUACCAUGUUUUAUUAUGUGUAUUGAAGGACUUUCCAGUAAUCAUUUGUAACAUACACAUGAACAAUUUAUAUUGUUACUUAAGUUAGUAUUAGAUAACAAUUAAAUUGUUAUUUACAUUGGUUAUAAAAAUGAUACUUUUCCCAUCAUCUCUUCUUUUCUCUUCUCUGAGAGUUACAAGAAAGACAGGGGUUAUAAUCCUACUUCAGCUAAUAUGAUCUAGAGUCAUUUGUCCAGUUUCCUUGCACAGGUUCUCUAACCAUAUAAUAGGAGUAGUAAUGCCCAUCUGUAUCCUCUUGCAAAAGCUGUCAUGAAAUAAUAGAGAUUACUUGGUGUUCUUGGGAAGAAAAUUGGAGUAGAGAUCCUGGGUGUUUCCAUUCAUUAUUAAUAUCACCGCCCACCUCCUGCCAUGUUUUGAAAUGACUCAGGAGCUUAAUGUGUGUGACAAGGGAGUACUUGGGAGAAAGGGAAGGAAUCUGAUGAAAUAUAACUCAAUAUCACAGGUAAAAUAGUUUUUUUUUUUAUCACUUUGCAAGCCUACAGCAUUUUGUUUCUUAUCAUCCAUCAUGAUGUAAUGAUACUCUUGUGUUUUCUGAAGUUUCCUCUCUUCUUUUCUUGUAAUUUGGGCUGUUUAAAAUUUUAAAAAAGCAGUCGUCCUUUUGACUGCGUUAAGAGAGAAAUUUUGCAAGGUGAAGUCUGUGUACUUUUUUUUACCACCCCUUUAUCGUCAUUAAGUCAAAAGCGAAAACUGCCUGAAUAUUCAAGGUAAAACUUAUUUCUGUUUUUCAUUUUGUCCAUAAUAACAUUUUUCUUUUUCUUUUUUUUUAAAUUCUUUAUUUAUAACAUUUUGCUUUUUCUUUACUAAAGCAUCAGAUUUGGAAAGAUGAAAAAUUCUAUCAUAAUUAUUAGAUAAAUCACUUUUCAGGCAGAACUCCUGUAAUUGCUUCAGAUUGCUGGCAUAAGCAAAUUUUUUUCUAUUUAUUAAGUGUUAAGGUGAUAAAAUAUAAUUUUUAUUUUAUUGUAUCCCUUCUAACUGUUUUUUAUUUUUUGAGAUGGAGUUUCGCUCUUGUUACCCAGGCUGGAGUGCAAUGGUGUGAUCUCGGCUAACUGCAAUCUCCGCUUCCUGAGUUCAAGCAAUUCUCCUACCUCAGCCUCCCAAGUAGCUGGGACUACAGGCAUGGGCCACCAUGCCCAGCUAAUUUUUGUAUUUUUAGUAGAGACGGGGUUUUACCUAGUUAACCAGGAUUGUCUCGAUCUCUUGACCUCGUGAUCCUCCCACCUCAGCCUCCCAAAGUGCUGGGAUUAUAGGCGUGAGCCACCGUGCCCAGCUACCUUCUAACUUUUAAGGAACAAUCUCAUCCAUAGCCAUAGAAAGGUUGAGAUAAUCCUAUUUUGCAAUAUAAUGAAAAUAAUAACUAUUAAUUAUUGAGAGCUUA